Molecule: ribosomal RNA, 497 nt
Filed under: uncultured bacterium
Lineage: Bacteria
Description: partial 16S ribosomal RNA
Rfam family: Bacterial small subunit ribosomal RNA
Source: RNAcentral
GAUGAACGCUGGCGGCGUGCCUAAUACAUGCAAGUCGAGCGAACAGAUAAGGAGCUUGCUCCUUUGACGUUAGCGGCGGACGGGUGAGUAACACGUGGGUAACCUACCUAUAAGACUGGAAUAACUCCGGGAAACCGGGGCUAAUGCCGGAUAACAUUUAGAACCGCAUGGUUCUAAAGUGAAAGAUGGUUCUGCUAUCACUUAUAGAUGGACCCGCGCCGUAUUAGCUAGUUGGUAAGGUAACGGCUUACCAAGGCAACGAUACGUAGCCGACCUGAGAGGGUGAUCGGCCACACUGGAACUGAGACACGGUCCAGACUCCUACGGGAGGCAGCAGUAGGGAAUCUUCCGCAAUGGGCGAAAGCCUGACGGAGCAACGCCGCGUGAGUGAUGAAGGUCUUCGGAUCGUAAAACUCUGUUAUUAGGGAAGAACAAAUGUGUAAGUAACUGUGCACGUCUUGACGGUACCUAAUCAGAAAGCCACGGCUAACUACGUG